Molecule: ribosomal RNA, 338 nt
Filed under: Alcyonium digitatum
Lineage: Eukaryota; Metazoa; Cnidaria; Anthozoa; Malacalcyonacea; Alcyoniidae
Description: SSU rRNA
Rfam family: Eukaryotic small subunit ribosomal RNA
Source: RNAcentral
GUGAAACUGCGAAUGGCUCAUUAAAUCAGUUAUCGUUUAUUUGAUUGUACUCUCAUACUACUUGGAUAACCGKAGUAAUUCUAGAGCUAAUACAUGCGAAAAGUCCCGACUCUCGUGGAAGGGAUGUAUUUAUUAGAUUAAAAACCAAUGCGGCUUAACGGCCGCUUAACCACUUGGUGAUUCAUAGUAACUGUUCGAAUCGCAUGGCCUUCUUUGUUCGUGCCGGCGAUGUUUCAUUCAAAUUUCUGCCCUAUCAACUGUCGAUGGUAAGGUAGUGGCUUACCAUGGUUGCAACGGGUGACGGAGAAUUAGGGUUCGAUUCCGGAGAGGGAGCCUGA